CAAAGGUGGAUGCAACAUCAUCGGUGAACUUGGAGUGGAUGAGACAUCGGGGUUCUAUUCGUGAAGCGGACCUUGCAACGGUAACGUCGCCCGCUUGGCCUGCUCGACGCUGUAUUAUAUUCUUGAAUACUGUAGGGUAGCUAGGACGAUUAUUUGUGGAUUACAUCGGUUUCAAUCCUGUUGCAGCUCUGUCUUUCGUUGGUGCAGUCGAAUCUGGGCGGAAUGUGGAAGUCGUGGUGUCGUCUAACUCGGGGUAUCCUGGCCUGCAAUUGCUGUUGAUGUUGAUGGGAUUUUGGUUGCCAGGAGGAUGAGAGGUUCGACCAGGAGGUUGGUUUUAGCAUGAAUUACCAGUAUCUGUCUAGAAUGCUCCAUGAGCAUUCAUCAAAGUGUUUUCUAUCGCAAAACUCAGCGAGCGUUUGAGGAUAUCCGAAAACUAUGAGUUGUGGUUUGAAUGAGUGAACGUUGUUUGCGACAUCAUCCGUGUCCCUUUGGUCCGAUUUGGCCAACCCAACCUGGAUUACUUCUGCGAUAGCUUCUGUGGAUUGCCGACUCUGACUGUCACUAGGAAGUUAGUAUUGAAUUGUGAAGCCGGGUGUUAGUCGCGCAUUCUUCCGAAGUGCCUCGCUAAACGACCACACUGGAUCACAUGCUGCACAACAGGGUCUAGUAGCUAGGAAAGUCUAAAUGCCACUCAAAUUUCAAUCCCUGAAAACUUAUGGUACUGCAGACUAGGCAAUUCAAGCAUUAAUAGGUCUCCAAAAGAUAUUUGACCCAGGUGGGUUAGUCUUGACUUCGAAUGAGGGUUUGUUAACGGAGAAUUUUUUAAGUCAGUGUGUGAAUUUAAUUUUUUUUAGGCUGCGCAGAAGGUGUGAUACAUUUGCGCUGUGUGGGUUGAUAGUGUCGUUAAACCGUGCAAGACGUCGAUGAUUAUUAUCAUGUCACCACUGUUGCAAUUCUUGUGCACGUGACUAUUGUCCAACCUGCGUGCUUUUUAUCGGCCAAUCAUGGGUUUUUUACUAAGAUUUCGUCUCUUCUCUCCGACCCAAUCAAGCAGUUAAAGACCAUCAGAAAUCUCUCUCCUCUUGCAGGUUCAGAUAAGGUGGAUCACAUGUGCAGGAAUUCUUCACAUCACCGCUGAAGAAUGGCUGGGUACACAUGUUAAAGCACGCAAACAGCACAGGGGUAAAAUGCUUACAUACUGAUUGCACCUCCUCUUCUACAAGACCCCUUGAGAGUUGUCAAAAUCUCUUCUUUUCUAAGAAAUCUACAUCACUCAACAUGCAUUGACAGUCUAGUUUCCAGCGAAACAAAGAAGAAAAACAAGUACACAGGAAACCUUCCCCUGCAUCGCUAUGUUUCAGCAUCACUGAUUAUCAGCGGCUGGAAGCUUUUCUAACUCACAUUCACCAUUUAGCAUGUAGUGACAUUGAAGAUUACUGCUGGCCAUGGUGAUCCAAGAAACCAUACUCAUCCGAUCGGAACCUACACAGUGCUGCGCGAGUUUCUACCAAAUGCAUAUCUCUGUUACACUGCGGCGUGUGACAAAAAGCUCCAAUACUGCAAUAGUGGCUAGCUGUUUGCGUUUGAAAUGCAUGUGCUAGUUCAGUUAUCUGGUUAACGUACUUACUUCUGGCUUCUGAGAGCUUUGCAAUGUUGAGUGUACACAAUUGGCAUUAUUUAUGAGGGACAAUAACUGAUCAAAAUGCAAGGCAUUCGGAAAAGCAAUAACAAUAGUAGCCAGUGGCAAACCUAAUAUGCGGCCGAUGCCUACAUCAA
This is a non-coding RNA of Physcomitrium patens, 1776 nucleotides long. Lineage: Eukaryota; Viridiplantae; Streptophyta; Bryopsida; Funariales; Funariaceae. The record is from RefSeq and is a predicted model, not a curated record.